RNAcentral lists this unclassified non-coding RNA (448 nucleotides) under Hevea brasiliensis (rubber tree). Lineage: Eukaryota; Viridiplantae; Streptophyta; Magnoliopsida; Malpighiales; Euphorbiaceae. The record is from RNAcentral.
UUGAUCCUGAGAUGCAAAUUUCUUGAUAAAAUUAUUCGGUAUGAUAGAUAUUAAGUAUCGUGAUAUUCUGUUUUGAUAACUUCUAUCCUUUGCUGCAACUAAUGCAUUUUACAUAAAGGUUAGUAAUAGUAAUAGUUUUUCAAUUCAUUUUGAAUUAAGGUUGAAUCUCUAACAUUGUGAUCUACACCAAAUUCCAAAUCAGUGGCAUAUGCUUGGUAAAACUUAAAUCAUGCAGAAUAAUGCAGGGAAAUUUCCUUUUGGAGAAGAUCAGGAAUCAAAAUUUAUAUUUAUUUGCACUGAAUUGGAUUUCAAUGAAAUUCAGAAUCAUGUAUCUGGGGUUGGAAGCAGCUAAUCAUCAUUUCUUUAUAUUAGAUGUCAUGAGAAACUUUCCUUUAAACAAGUUGAAAUUGGUGCAUGCAUGGCCCUGUGUGUGUGUGUGUGUGCGCGC